Long non-coding RNA from Equus caballus (horse), 2087 nucleotides. Lineage: Eukaryota; Metazoa; Chordata; Mammalia; Perissodactyla; Equidae. The record is from Ensembl.
GCUGAAUUAAGGGAGAAAGGGAACUGACUUUUAUUGAGCCCCUGCUGUGUGCCAGGGUCUGUUGUAAUCUAGAUUGAGACUGAUAUGUAACAGGAGGUGUCUAGCAAAUUAAUGGGGUGGGCCCACCAAAAACAUGCUCAUAUGAAGGGUAAAGAGACUCCCCGAGCCUGACUCAAAGCCGGUCGUGAGAGAGGAGGGAUAAUGAUGAAGAGACUAAGGAUCAGAGAGCUUGAGCAACUUGCCUGAUAAGAUUCAGAAAGCGAGUCUUGUGGGGAAGGCAGGUCCAGCCUGAGGAGAAUAUCAGCGGGUAUUUGUGUUGAGAGGAUCAUAAAGUGAGUGAUGACAAUGAAGCUGGAGGAGGUGCCUAAGGAAAUGGUGGAGACGUCUGUGGCGGUGGUGACGUGAAAAGGGUACUGAAGAACAAUAGGAAUGUUCCUAUGUUCAUCAUCAUACUGAUAAACGUGCUAAAAAACCAAGUAUAGGUUCCAGACCAUCUGCUAUUUUCUUUACCCUACCCCUGGAAUGAACCAUUUCUCCGGGGUUAAUUCUGCAGCUUUGAUUUCCUUUAUUGAAGAAUUGUAUUUCGAACCAAGAUCUGGGCACCAAGGUAUUCUCAUUGCUGCAAGAUGUCAUUGUUUCUAGUUCUUCUCAGUCAACAGAACUAGGAAAGAUACACAUUCAUAUUUAUUUAUGCAUGUAUCUAUAUGUAUACAUAUUAACCAUGCAUUCUUACCUCCCCCAACACUACAGGUAUCAUGCUAGCCUUUCCCUUCUCCUUAUUUGUAGCUUUUUUGUUGUUGACAGUGAGAAACCUAGCUCUCACUAUCCACGAUAUGUUUACUUAAUUUUUUGAUCCUAAUAUACACAUAAAGUAGUUUCAGAAUUAUCAACCCGUACUAACCUACACAGAAUUAUCAACCCAUACUAACCUACACAGAAUUGUACAGAUUGGUUUUUUUCUUUUGGUCUUUAACCUUGCAGUGCCCAGUCAAAAUACUCUUUUCCAAAGAUAUUUAGGUUAGUUUUUUCUUCACUACUGCCUUCAGUUUGGUUAUGUUAGUCAUUUGUAUUACAGUCAGAUUCAUUUGUUGUUGUUUGUAUUCCAUUUGAGGUUCCCAUCACAUUCUGGUUGAUUUUUAAUUAUUUAUUUAUUUAUUGUAUGUGAAAUAUUACCAUGUGUAUUAGUCAGUUUUUUCUAGAGAAACAGAACCCCAGUAGGAUAUAUAUAUAUAUAUAUAUAUAUGUAUAUAUAUAUAUAUAUACAUAUAAAUGUAUAUACACACACACAUAUCUUAAUUAUGAGGAAUUGGCUCACGCAGUUACAGAGGCUGAGAAGUCCCAUGACCUACUGUCUGCAGGCUGGAGAUGCAGGAACUCCAGUGGUAUAAUUCAGUCAAUGCCUGAAGGCCUGAGAACCAGGGACACCAAUGGUUUAAAUCUCAGCUGGAGGACAGUAGAAGAUGAGAUGUCCCAACUCAGCAGUGAAGUAGGAAAAAAAGAGUGGAUUCCUAUAAGUGAGAUUAUUGGGUCAAAAGAAUUUUCAGAAUGCAUAAAGAUAUUUGCACCCCUAUGUUCAUGGCAGCAUUAUCCACAAUAGCCAAGACUUGGAAACAACCUAAGUGCCCAUCGAUGGAUGAAUGGAUAAAGAAGAUGUGGUAUACAUACACAAUGGAAUACUACUCAGCCAUAAAAAAAAGAUGAAAUCUUGCCAUUUGCAACAUCAUGGAUGGACCUUGAGGGUGUUAUGCUAAGUGAAAUAAGUCAGACAGGGAAAGUACUGUAUGAUUUCACUCCUAAGUAUAAGAUAAAAACAACAACAAUAACAACAAACAAACACACAGAUACAGAGAUUAAGUUGGUGGUUACCAGAAGGAAAGGGGAGAAGGAGGAGGAAGAAAGGGAUGAUAGGACACAUGUGUAUGAUGAUGGAUGGUAACUAGUCUUUGGGUAGUGAACAUGAUGUAGUCUACGCAGAAAUUGAAAUAUAGUGAAAUUUAUAUAGUAUUAUAAAAAAAUGUUUCCCCAAUAAAAAAGAAAAAAGAAUUUUUGGGUCUCUGCUCCGGAUUGUGAUUGACUUUUCAUAUUUG